Molecule: long non-coding RNA, 475 nt
Filed under: Homo sapiens (human)
Lineage: Eukaryota; Metazoa; Chordata; Mammalia; Primates; Hominidae
Description: long non-coding RNA NONHSAT150155.1
Source: RNAcentral
CUCUGUUAUCAGAGACUUUUGAUGCUACCAUUGGAGUCAGACAAGCAGACAAACAUCAACAAAAUGAUUAUAAACUAUGACACACUAUGAUGGGAAAGAAGGAGGCUGACAGAGAGGACAUUGGCAGGAAGGAGCCCUACUGUAGAUGUGGUGGUCAGAGAAGGGCCUUUGUGAGAAGCUGACACAUAAUCUCACAGUUGAAGUUGUGAGAAGGAGCUGGUCCUCCAGAGAGAAGUAGGAAGAGCGCUCCAGCAGAAUCUCUGGGCAAGUGCAGCUACGACUGCUGCUGGGACCGCGAUACUGUGAUGAGACUUUGCAUAUUUAAAAGGAUGUCGAGAGAGGAGGAGGAAUGAUAAAUGAACUCAGGAAGAUGUGAUGUCUUCUGUGAUGACACUAAUAGAUGGAAUGCAGAAUUCAGCUCCAAUACUUAGGGUUGGAAACCAAACAUAAACAAGCAAGCAAGGAAAAUGAAAAG